RNAcentral lists this ribosomal RNA (496 nucleotides) under uncultured bacterium. RNAcentral's name for it is "partial 16S ribosomal RNA". It matches the Rfam family "Bacterial small subunit ribosomal RNA", at positions 28 to 506 of the family's 1533-position model. The record is from RNAcentral.
GACGAACGCUGGCGGCGUGCCUAAUACAUGCAAGUUGAGCGCUGAAGGUUGGUACUUGUACCGACUGGAUGAGCAGCGAACGGGUGAGUAACGCGUGGGGAAUCUGCCUUUGAGCGGGGGACAACAUUUGGAAACGAAUGCUAAUACCGCAUAAAAACUUUAAACACAAGUUUUAAGUUUGAAAGAUGCAAUUGCAUCACUCAAAGAUGAUCCCGCGUUGUAUUAGCUAGUUGGUGAGGUAAAGGCUCACCAAGGCGAUGAUACAUAGCCGACCUGAGAGGGUGAUCGGCCGCAUUGGGACUGAGACACGGCCCAAACUCCUACGGGAGGCAGCAGUAGGGAAUCUUCGGCAAUGGACGAAAGUCUGACCGAGCAACGCCGCGUGAGUGAAGAAGGUUUUCGGAUCGUAAAACUCUGUUGGUAGAGAAGAACGUUGGUGGGAGUGGAAAGCGCAUCAAGUGACGGUAACUACCCAGAAAGGGACGGCUAACUACGU